CCUACGGGAGGCAGCAGUGGGGAAUCUUGCGCAAUGGGCGAAAGCCUGACGCAGCCAUGCCGCGUGAAUGAUGAAGGUCUUAGGAUUGUAAAAUUCUUUCACCGGGGACGAUAAUGACGGUACCCGGAGAAGAAGCCCCGGCUAACUUCGUGCCAGCAGCCGCGGUAAUACGAAGGGGGCUAGCGUUGCUCGGAAUUACUGGGCGUAAAGGGAGCGUGGGCGGAUAGUUUAGUCAGAGGUGAAAGCCCAGGGCACAACCUUGGAAUUGCCUUUGAUACUGGCUAUCUUGAGUAUGGGAGAGGUUAGCGGAACUCCGAGUGUAGAGGUGAAAUUCGUAGAUAUUCGGAAGAACACCAGUGGCGAAGGCGGCUAACUGGCCCAUUACUGACGCUGAGGCUCGAAAGCGUGGGGAGCAAACAGGAUUAGAUACCCUGGUAGUCCACGCCGUAAACGAUGAGUGCUAGUUGUCGGCAUGCAUGCAUGUCGGUGACGCAGCUAACGCAUUAAGCACUCCGCCUGGGGAUACGGUCGCAAGAUUAAAACNCAAAGGAAUUGACGG
Molecule: ribosomal RNA, 559 nt
Filed under: uncultured bacterium
Lineage: Bacteria
Description: bacterial SSU rRNA
Rfam family: Bacterial small subunit ribosomal RNA
Source: RNAcentral